RNAcentral lists this transfer RNA (118 nucleotides) under Loxodonta africana (African savanna elephant). It matches the Rfam family "tRNA". From Rfam's summary of the family: Transfer RNA (tRNA) molecules are approximately 80 nucleotides in length. Their secondary structure includes four short double-helical elements and three loops (D, anti-codon, and T loops). Further hydrogen bonds mediate the characteristic L-shaped molecular structure. tRNAs have two regions of fundamental functional importance: the anti-codon, which is responsible for specific mRNA codon recognition, and the 3' end, to which the tRNAs corresponding amino acid is attached (by aminoacyl-tRNA synthetases). tRNAs cope with the degeneracy of the genetic code in two manners: having more than one tRNA (with a specific anti-codon) for a particular amino acid; and 'wobble' base-pairing, i.e. permitting non-standard base-pairing at the 3rd anti-codon position. The record is from Rfam by way of RNAcentral. Lineage: Eukaryota; Metazoa; Chordata; Mammalia; Proboscidea; Elephantidae.
GCAUUGGUGGUUCAGUGGUAGGUUUCUUACUUUCUAUGCAGGGCUCUACGGCACUGGGAUUUUUUGUUUUGUUUUGUUUUGGAUGCAGGAGGCCCAGGUUCGAUUCCUGGCCAGUGCA